RNAcentral lists this ribosomal RNA (206 nucleotides) under Bacillus sp. (in: firmicutes). RNAcentral's name for it is "Bacillus sp. (in: Bacteria) partial 16S ribosomal RNA". It matches the Rfam family "Bacterial small subunit ribosomal RNA", at positions 213 to 418 of the family's 1533-position model. Lineage: Bacteria; Bacillati; Bacillota; Bacilli; Caryophanales; Bacillaceae. The record is from RNAcentral.
UACCACUUACAGAUGGGCCCGCGGUGCAUUAGGUAGUUGGGGAGGUAACGGCUCACCAAGGCGAAGAUUGGUAACCGACUUGAGAGGGUGAUCGGCCACACUGAGUCUGAGACACGGCCCAGACUCGUACGGGAGGCAGCAGUAGGGAAUCUUCCGCAAUGGACGAAAGUUUGACGGAGCAACGCCGCGUGAGUGAAGAAGGUUUU